This 300-nucleotide ribosomal RNA is filed under the name uncultured Vagococcus sp. RNAcentral describes it as "bacterial SSU rRNA". It matches the Rfam family "Bacterial small subunit ribosomal RNA", at positions 496 to 795 of the family's 1533-position model. The record is from RNAcentral. Lineage: Bacteria; Bacillati; Bacillota; Bacilli; Lactobacillales; Enterococcaceae.
GGUAAGUCCGUGCAGGCGGAGCGGGUAAAUCGGUGGGUGCAAGCUUUAGCCGGAUUUAUUGGGGUUAAAGGGUCCGUAGGGGGGCCGAUAAGUCAGUGGUGAAAUCGCACAGCUUAACUGUGAAACUGCCGUUGAUACUGUAGGGCUUGAGUAAAUUUGAAGUGGCUGGAAUAAGUAGUGUAGCGGUGAAAUGCAUAGAUAUUACGUAGAACACCAAUUGCGAAGGCAGGUCACUAAGAUUUAACUGACGCUGAGGGACGAAAGCGUGGGGAGCGAACAGGAUUAGAUACCCCUGUAGUC